CGGUGUUGGCGGUGUUGGCGGUGUUGGCGGCGUUGGUGGCAUUGGCGGCGUUGGUGGCAUUGGCGGCGUUGGUGGCGUUGGCGGCGUUGGCAGCAUUGGCACUGGUGGACUGUAUCCAGGACAGGUGCCAGGAGCGGGAUAUGGAGCUGCUGCCAAGGCAGCUAAAUAUGGAUUGGUACCAGGGGGUGUACCGGGAGGAGUACCUGGAGGAGUACCGGGAGGAGUACCUGGAGGAGUACCAGGGGGUGUACCUGGAGGACUACCGGGAGGUGCACCAGUUGUUGGUGGAUAUUCACCAGCAGCCAAAGCCGCUAAAUACGGACUGGGAGGCGCAGGAGGUCUAGGAGGAACAGGGGCACAGUUAGGGACAGGAGGAUUUGGAGGACAAGGAGGACUCGGUGGAGGGGGAGGACUGGGAGGAGGGGGAGGAUAUUCUGCUGCUUCCAAAGCU
Molecule: long non-coding RNA, 451 nt
Organism: Centropristis striata (black sea bass)
Lineage: Eukaryota; Metazoa; Chordata; Actinopteri; Perciformes; Serranidae
Exons: 4
Source: RefSeq, a predicted model, not a curated record